GCAUAUUUUAGAGCCAAAGUCAUAAAAUUUAAUUAAACCUUAUUACUAACAAAUCCGCCUUCAAACAGAAUUCUCAAUCCAUUUUCCGUAAAAUAAAUAAACUUAUUGUAACCCAUCUCAACCUUACUUAUAAACUGCACCUUGAUCUGAUUUAUUUAAUUAUAUUAAAUUUUGAAUAUUAGUAUUCUACUGAAAUAUUCAACUACGACGAUAUACAAAUUUAUUAAAAUAAAUACAAUUAAUCGUGGGCUAUCGACAACAGGACAGGUUCCUCUGAAAAGACUAAAACACCGCCAAAUUUUUUAAUUUUCAAGAACAUAUCUAAUACUAAUUUAAUUUUAAUUUAACAUAUUAUA
This 356-nucleotide ribosomal RNA is filed under the name Cymbiodyta marginella. Its description in RNAcentral is "partial 12S ribosomal RNA". Lineage: Eukaryota; Metazoa; Arthropoda; Insecta; Coleoptera; Hydrophilidae. The record is from RNAcentral.